RNAcentral lists this ribosomal RNA (172 nucleotides) under Escherichia coli. RNAcentral describes it as "partial 16S ribosomal RNA". It matches the Rfam family "Bacterial small subunit ribosomal RNA", at positions 1 to 166 of the family's 1533-position model. Lineage: Bacteria; Pseudomonadati; Pseudomonadota; Gammaproteobacteria; Enterobacterales; Enterobacteriaceae. The record is from RNAcentral.
AAAUUGAAGAGUUUGAUCAUGGCUCAGAUUGAACGCUGGCGGCAGGCCUAACACAUGCAAGUCGAACGGUAACAGGAAACAGCUUGCUGCUUCGCUGACGAGUGGCGGACGGGUGAGUAAUGUCUGGGAAACUGCCUGAUGGAGGGGGAUAACUACUGGAAACGGUAGCUAA